GAUUCUCUGGAGAGUCUCUUCAUGAGCGCCGAAGGUGUACGCAUUUACGGUUGUCGCAAAUACGACCGGAUUUGCAAUCUCUCAGGCAAAAGGACAGAGCAGA
Molecule: non-coding RNA, 103 nt
Filed under: human gut metagenome
Description: Glycine riboswitch
Rfam family: Glycine riboswitch aptamer
About the family: This family represents the bacterial glycine riboswitch. Glycine riboswitches usually consist of two metabolite-binding aptamers domains with similar structures in tandem. The aptamers cooperatively bind glycine to regulate the expression of downstream genes.
Source: RNAcentral